GUAGGCUGCAACUCGCCUCAUGAAGUCGGAAUCGCUAGUAAUCGCGGAUCAGCAUGCCGCGGUGAAUACGUUCCCGGGCCUUGUACACACCGCCCGUCACACCAUGAGAGUUUGUAACACCCAAAGCCGGUGGGGUAACCUUUUGGAGCCAGCCGUCUAAGGUGGGACAGAUGAUUGGGGUGAAGUCGUAACAAGGUACC
This 200-nucleotide ribosomal RNA is filed under the name uncultured bacterium. Its description in RNAcentral is "partial 16S ribosomal RNA". It matches the Rfam family "Bacterial small subunit ribosomal RNA", at positions 1300 to 1500 of the family's 1533-position model. The record is from RNAcentral.